This 116-nucleotide small RNA is filed under the name Streptomyces monashensis. RNAcentral describes it as "Streptomyces sp. MUSC 1 Streptomyces-metK RNA". It matches the Rfam family "Streptomyces-metK RNA". Lineage: Bacteria; Bacillati; Actinomycetota; Actinomycetes; Kitasatosporales; Streptomycetaceae. The record is from Rfam by way of RNAcentral.
GUGAGACUGUGGCCCAUCGGCCGAGUGCGACCGAUAAACUGUUCCAGGUCGGCAUCAGGCGCAGCCCUCGUGCCGACAGUAAAUGAUCAGCCAGCAGCCGCUGCAACCACAGGGAG